Molecule: long non-coding RNA, 494 nt
Filed under: Parus major (Great Tit)
Lineage: Eukaryota; Metazoa; Chordata; Aves; Passeriformes; Paridae
Description: lncRNA (ENSPMJG00000006270.1)
Source: RNAcentral
CCCCCUCAGGGAUGAUGAUGGAACAGUAAUUACCAAGAAAGCCAGCAACCUGCAGAGAGCAGGAGUGUCUUGCUUGUACUUAGAGGUGCUGAAGUCUUGAAUAUAUUGGAAUCAAAAUUUGGUCUCUGAACAACUGAAUCUGCAGAUGGUGACAGGGAUGGUAUGAGUAGAAUGAAAAAGGCAGACCCAAGUAAAUACUACAGUCUGAAAAGGGAAAUGUGAUACCCCAGGAAGCAUCCGCAUUGCUUAAAUGGAUUCGUGCGAGGGGCUUUAGCGAGCAGACAUUGAUUGGCUUCUCUCUGGGGCCCGCUGCAGGCCCGACGGGUUCUGCUUUGACACAGGCAGCAAAUGAAAUACGACCUCCUGUAAACGGGCCUGAGCUUCUGGGCCUUUGUGGAAUCCGGGAGCUAAGGACCUUUUCAAUCCCUUUUAAUUAAUGAAGUGAUUUGACUUGACUGAGAUUACACUUGCAAUAAUGAAUUAAAAAGUAAUAA